This 250-nucleotide unclassified non-coding RNA is filed under the name plant metagenome. RNAcentral describes it as "partial contains small subunit ribosomal RNA, internal transcribed spacer 1, and 5.8S ribosomal RNA". The record is from RNAcentral.
GUAGGUGAACCUGCGGAGGGAUCAUUAACAUCCACACCCCCUCACAGAGGGCUCUCGCUCCUAGCAAUAGGGCGGAGCUCUCUUGAGACACCCCUCUGAACUCUCUCUACUCUAUACCCUACCCUGGAGGAGUGGGUCGUCCUGCACGCAAGUGCAGCGUCGACUUCUCCUCUCCCCAUUUUCUACACCCCUGACUUCUGACCCCAUUCUCCCCCUUGCUUCGUCGUCUGCUCCUUGCGAGCCGCGGCGG